CAAUUUUGGUUUAAGUUAAAAUAGUUUGGUUCAAGAAUAAUUAAAUAGUGAAAACCGGUUUAGAGCAUCUCCAAUGUACACUUUUAUAAUCUUUAUAUAUAAAAUACAGUUUGUUCUCUCCAGGAUGCGCCACCUAGGAUUCCACCUAGGAAAAUCGAGCUUUUUCGUGCUGCCACGUGUCUCCAUUAAUGAAACUCGGCGUUUCAACCGCACGUCGGGAUGGACUUUCUUCGUUCAUCACAUGUUGGGCUUCUAAAAACAAACGCUAGAAAAGUGAUUAGGUUGUUUAAUAGUUGGGCUUUCAUAAUUUCACAAACCUAAGCCCAUAAUAAUUUCUCACGUCCACCGACCCUCUUUCCAAACGGUUCUUUGGAAAGCGAAGACGCCGUUGUGAUGAACGAUGUGCUUCCCAGCGGCUCUGGAGAUCCGGCACCGUUACGUAAAACGCUUGCAUUCAAUCACCGCUAUCAAUGCUCCAUUAACCUCCUCAUAAACGCCACCGACCCACUACUACCACCACGUCUCAAUCAAUACACCACCUCCUUAUGAAUCUACUACUAUAAAUCUGGGAGUUCCUUUCCCUGAGAUUCAUCGAUUUCUCCUUCUCAAUCAUCGUUGUUGUUGGAUUUCUUCUAAUCAUCUGGUCGGAUUCAGUACUCUGGGUGUUCCCCCUACAAAGAGUCCGCUCUCCGUUGAUUAGAGUGUUAUCUGUUUUUUCAGAUUUGAGACGUCGGUGAUUCAUGUUAUACUUAUUGAAGAAAGAGAUUACAAAUUAGUGCUGCACAAAAAAAAACUCACUGAGAUGCUUAUUGGAUUAUGCUCUGAUUCUUUACCGGCGGAGAGAUUGUAUCACCAAGAAAAAAGGAGGUGAUUUGGGCAAAUAUCGGCAAUGACUAAGCUCUCAAAAUGAUUGCUGGUGAAGCUUACGGCUGAGCACGGUGCUCUCUGCAUCAGUGGGAAUUCAUCUAAUCAAAGGCCACUUG
RNAcentral lists this long non-coding RNA (983 nucleotides) under Brassica napus (rape). RNAcentral's name for it is "long non-coding RNA (BNAP_LNC005157)". The record is from RNAcentral. Lineage: Eukaryota; Viridiplantae; Streptophyta; Magnoliopsida; Brassicales; Brassicaceae.